AGAAAUCAGGGCUUUAAGCCCUUGGUUGAAAACCGGCCCAAGGCCAACCAAAACUAGGGCCCGAGCCCUUUGGGUUUUAAAAACAUAUAACUAAAAAUAAAAACUGAAUGGGUUAGGGUACUGGGCUAAGGCAACACGGGCCUAAGGCCCGAGGGAGAGGGAAAGGCCGGAUGGCCUGGGUUUGUCGAAGGAGAAGGCCGGAAUUUCGGCCGGAAAACCACCCAACUUUAAAUGGCCAUAACUUUGUCAAUACUCAACGAAAUCAAGCAAGACAAAAAUGAAAGUUGUAGCCCUUGAAGAGACGAAGAGAAUGGUACCUCACACAACGUCUAACUCGCCGUGGUUUGGCCGGAACAUGCCUCGAAAUCCGUCGGACUCGCCAGAAACUGGGUAAGAUUCAAAUGAGUAUAACUUCUUCAAUACUCAACGAAAUUAAGUGAAACAAAAAGGAAAGUUGUAGUACUCGACGAGACGAAGAGAUUGAUACCUUACACGCCGGCCAACUCGCUGUGGUUUGGCCGGAAAUGACCUCGAAAGGGGCGGUGCUCGCCGGAGCUUACUCCGUGCCGUCGAACUCGCAGGGCAGGGUCCGGGGUUCGUUGCGAGCCUCUCUUCGAUGGUGACUCGGUCCUAGUGAGUCCAGGGGAAGAGAGAGAUGCGAGAGGUUGAGGGAGAGAGAGACGGGAGAGCUGAGAAGGAGAGAGCUACGGGAGGGAGAAACGAAGAAGAAGAAGAGAGAGAUCAGAAAACAUAAAAAAAUAAACAAGGUGGGCCCCACGGGCUCACCAAUUAAGGCUUUAAAACAAUUUUAAAAUAUAAAAGAGGGUUGGGGUGUUUCAUCUUUCCUAAAAGAUAUCAAAGGUCGAAUUCGGAGCUUGGACGCCAAAUAGACAAAUUCCCGAGCGUCCUUUUGUCUGACAGUUCAUCUCCUCCUCAAUCCAUUCAGCUAUUUGUUUUACAUCAGAAAGAUUUAUGUUAACUUAUCAUCUCGCGUCUAAAAUUAUGAGCUCUAAGAAAGAGGAGAGUUACCAUUCGAUGGUAAGUGCCCAUUGGCUUUGGGCCUUACAUGUUUCCAAAUGAAACCAGUGCGCACUUUAGCCCAUUCAACCAAGUCCAAUCUGAAUCGCUUUGACCGAACAGCGAAGUGACAAUGGAGGGAGGGUGGGCGUUGACCUGCAAUCUCAGCAUCCCUCCAAUUCAAACAAUUUCUGAAGACCAGGUAUUUCACUUUCGUCGGAUGUUAAUGGCUGCUUCUUCUUGUUCUUCGUCUUCAUCCUACAGUAGUUGGAAAUAUAUGAUGUAUUCCUGAAUUUUAGAGGGGAAGACACUCGCAAGAUCUUCAUCGGCCAUCUCUACAGAGCUCUGAAUCAGAAAGCAAUCAACACCUUCAUUGAUGGCGAAGAGCUUCGAAAAGGCAACGACCUUUCGGAGCUCCUUACAGCUAUUACCGACUCGAGGCUAUCGAUUGUAGUUUUUUCCGAAAACUACGCUUCUUCGACGUGUUGCUUGAAAGAACUCGUCCAGAUACUGGAAUGCAUGGACACACAAAAGCAGAUAGUGGUGCCUGUUUUCUACGAAGUGGAUCCAUCCGAUAUUCGUAAACUGGAGGGAAGUUUUGAUGCAGUGCAUAAGGAGUUUAUUCAACGGGGCUUUUGGUAUUUUGGUGUUCAGCCAUUCCGUUAAUUAUUAAUUUGAGAUUCAUGUAUCUUAGGUUGUGAUGUAAUGUUUUGCAGUAAUUUUGAUGCAAAAUUAAGUGGCUAGGUGGAACAAUUGUCAUUUAUUAUGUUUCGGGGGCUUAGGGAGUUGUAUUUGCAUUGAUGAAGAUGUUUUGACACACUAGUAUAUUAGGGAGGGAGUUUAAUAUGCUAAAGGGGACAAUUUGGAAUUAUAAUUUUAUGGUAACCAAGAAUUAAGUAUUGCUCUUCUAUCAUUUUUCUGUCAAGCCUCGUGUAUUUUUUGACACCUCCUCUAUCUCUUUUUCGUUCUGCAUUAAGUUUUGCAGAAGCUUUUGCUAAACAUGAAAGUUAUUCUAACGUUAACAGGAAGGAGGUGCAGAGCUAGCGGUCUGUUCUUGCUAGAGCCACCGAUUUAUCCGGUUGGGAUUCAAAAUAUUGUAAGUGAGUUUAAUUUGUCCGCAUGCACUUGAUAUUAAUGUAUUUUGACAGUAUAAAUCCACGGUUUUGAUCACAACUAACUUCCUUACAUAUAGAUGGCUAAGCGUUCACCAAUUUGAUUAGUUUUUGCAUAUUUAUGAUCAAGAAAAUUAACGUAUUUUUACUGUACAAAUCCGGGGUUUUAGUCACAACAAGUAUUGCCCUUCUAAUUGUUCAGUUUUAGUUUUCUAUUUUGGGCUUGUUAUAAAACUCAGCUUUGCUUUGACUCUUUCGCGAUGCUGGUUCUAAACCUUCACAGGGAUGAUGCCAAUCUUAUUGAAGAUAUUGUAGAGGAUAUCUUUAGCAAAUUGAUCCACAUCUCAUCAAGCAAAGCCAAUGGCUCGGUUGGAAUGGAUUACCACAUAGAUGAAAUGAAGUUAUUAUUACGUCCUGGGGCGAAUGAUGUUUUCGCUGUUGGAAUAUGGGGUUUGGGAGGUAUAGGCAAAACCACCAUUGCUCGCACUGUUUGUGAUGAAAUUGCUUGUCAAUUUGAAGCUUGCUGCUUUCUUGAAAAUGUUAAAGGAAGGCUUCUCAAAUACUGGUGCAGUACAUAUGCAGGAAGUGCUUCUUGUUGUGAUUGGCUCAUAUUUUGAGCAAUUAACAAUUAAGUGACUUUGUGUGUUAUGCUUUCGGAGUAGUGACCAAAUGUGGCCAUAUCUCAUUUCGGCUAAUAGUGGAAGACAAUGAUGAUGUUUGCUUGGGAUUCUUUUGUUUUGGCCUUUUUUCUUGGUUUCCCAUUUGCAUGCCACGCGUGAGUGGCUUUGGGGUUUGAGUAAAAGGCAAAGGGAGCAUGAUGCAUCAUCAUUAUGUCUGUGGAAAAAGGAAAGGUUGAUUCAUUUUUCUUCUCCAUUUAGCUGCAAAGAGCCGAAGAGGAGAGGGUGUGAGAGAGAGCAUCCGAAGGAGAACACAAAGGAGAGAAAAUAUAGAGCGAGAGUGAGAAACUCUUGGGGAGAGUGAAGCUCUUAGUAAAAUUUUGUAAGGGUACAAGGGAUUGGAGUUUGGGUUAUGUUGAUUUAACUCAAGUGUAUAUUGUAUUAGUUAUUCUCAUAGUGAAGAGCAAUAUCUCUUGGAGGACGUAGGCAGAUUUUUGCCGAACCUCGUAAAUUUCUCAGUGUAUUUAUUUCUUGUAAUUUAAACUGUUCAACUGUGGGUCUGUAGUUUGGUGAGGCAAUCUAAAUCUCACUUCCACACUGACGAACGGCCAAGGCACAACACUUCUUUCUAGAAUAUUGAAGGAAAAGGUGCGGAGUUUAGGCAUGUUGGAUCGAGGUUCCAAAAUGAUAAUGAAAAGGCUACGAAGGAAAAAAAAAUUUCAUUGUUCUUGAUGACGUUGACAAAUUAUCCCAAAUCAAAGCCUUACUUGGAAAGCAGCAUUCAUUUGGUGGUGGAAGUAGAAUCAUUAUAACAACAAGAGAUAUGCAAUUGAUAAGUGGAGCCGAUGUUGUAUAUAAGCCCAAGAAAUUAAAUGAGCCUGAAGCUCUUGAACUCUUCAGCCAGUAUGCCUUUAAAACCAACCAACCCACAAGAGAUUAUGAUCGUCUCUCGAGGCUUGCCAUACAACAUGCUCAUGGUGUGCCCUUAGCGCUUAAAGUCUUGGGAGCUUUGCUUGAUGACAGAAGUGUAUUGGAGUGGGAAGAUGUGUUGAAGAAAACAAAGAAAACCCAGCUCAUGGGAAUUCAGGAUGUUAUUAGAAAGAGCUUUGAUGGGUUAGAUGACUCAGAGAAGGAUAUAUUUCUAGAUAUUGCAUGUUUCUUUAAAGGGAUGGAGAAAGACUAUGUAACUAAAAUUCUUGAUAGUUGUGGCUUUUAUCCCCAUAGUGGAUUAGGAGUACUAAUUAAUAGAACUCUCAUCACUAUAUCAGAUUACGAUACGCUUAAGAAGCAUGAUUUACUGCAAAAUAUGGGGUGGGAAAUAGUCCACCAAGAAUCUAAUAAAGAUCUUGGAAGACAAAGCAGGUUAUGGAUUUAUGAAGAUUUUCAUCGUGUAUAAACGCAAAAUACGGUGAGAUAAAUUCAUUACCUCUUUCUUUUAAGCAUGUAGUAUUGAGUAGAAAGCAGAAGUAUGAUAAAUAUCAAAUUUGGAUAUUUUCACUCAUUGAAUUUCUACUGUUUGGUUAUCUAGGCUACAGAAGCAGUGGAUUUAUACUUUGUGCAGGUUGCUUGAUGAAAGGGAAAACAAUUGUAGACACGUAUACUUUGUUGGAGUUGGAAACAUCUUCCAAUAGGCUUAAUCAUUUAAUGCGUUGCCAGAUUGGUUUAAUACAAGGUUGUAAUAUCUACUCUUCUCUACUUUACCUCAUGUAAGCUUCAAAGAUAUGUAGGAACGCUUCUGAUUCCGAGAAUAAAAGGUACCUACUUUUAAUGUGAAAGAUUUUUGUCACUUUGGCCUGAAAUUCUUCAUUUAAGUGACUGUUGGAGGUUUCGGAUGGUAUUCCCCAUUUAUCUUCCUUGUAAAUAUAUAUUAAAGCUUGCAGAAAUCUUUUUGAGAGCUUAUCUGCAACACUGAAUCGAUUUGUUGUUUAACAACUCUCAAAUUGGAAGCUUGCAACUUAUAGAGAUGCGGGGAUGCUUGUGUUGUCUAUUGACUAUUGUGUAUAUCCGUAGUAAGUCAACAAACCCUAAUCCCAGCUCCUUGAGCUCGGAAGAAACUUUGGAUCCACGCUCUGUUGGCGGAAACUUUGUGAUCUGUGACCGUGUGGUUAAUCGUAAUGCAUAGAAGGGACUGGUGGUGAAAGACGGAGAAGACGUACUAGGUAUAUGGUUUGGGCAAACACAGCUGCAUCACAUCAGAAGAUGCGGAGUUCGUUUCUUUAUAUACUAACCGUGCGGAGGUGCAAACCAAAGCAUGGCGCAGCCUAAAAAAUCAUCAUGAAAACCCUGAAGUGGAACUUCGUGUUAGUCUGACCAAUGUGUCGCCCUGGAUAACCACGGUUGGAGAUAGGGAUUUUCCAGCUACCGUGAAGCUCGGAAAUGGCAGGACUAUUACCGGGGUUUCGCUCUACAGGGGAAGGAUGAAGCUGUCAACAAACAAGCAAUACCCUGUUGUGUAUUUGGGAAGCAAUUCAACUAUUCAUAAUCCGAGCUCGCUCAGUUUGGAGGGGACGUUGGAUCGCCAAGUUGUGGCCGGAAAGAUUGUGAUUUGCGACCGUGGGAUUAGUCCUAGAGUGCAGAAGGGAGAAGUGGUGAAAAAAGCCGGAGGAGUUGGGAUGAUCUUGGCAAACAUAGCUGCAAACGGAGAGGAGCUUGUGGCGGAUUGCCACCUUGUUCCGGCGGUUGCUGUGGGAGAGAACGAAGCAAAGGGAAUCAAGCAUUAUGCUUCAACAAGCCCGAGAGCCACCGCAACUCUAACAUUUCUUGGAACUAGAGUUGGGGUUAGACCGUCGCCUGUGGUGGCAGCGUUUUCAUCCAGAGGGCCUAAUCUGGUAAGCCUUGAUAUUCUCAAGCCGGAUAUGGUGGCACCAGGAGUGAACAUCAUCGCCGCUUGGACAGGCGGAUUGGGCCCGUCCAGCUUGCCAGCAGAUCGUAGAAGGGUGAAGUUCAAUAUACUGUCCGGGACUUCAAUGUCCUGCCCCCAUGUGAGCGGCAUUGCCGCUCUACUCAAGGCAAGGCACCCGGAUUGGAGUCCGGCUGCAAUAAAGUCCGCCUUGAUGACAACCGCGUAUGUCCACGACAACACGCGAAAGCCUCUACAAGACUCCUCAGCAGCUUCAAUUUCAACCCCGUAUGAUCACGGUGCAGGGCACAUAAACCCGGUUAGGGCUCUUGACCUGGGAUUGAUUUACGACAUUGAGGCGCAGGACUAUCUUGAAUUCCUCUGCACACAAAGGCUAACACCAACCCAGCUCAAAGUUUUUACCAAGUACUCAAACAGAAGUUGCAAGAACAAUCUAGCCAGUCCCGGGGAGUUGAACUAUCCGGCACUUUCGGUUGUGUUCCCGGAGAGAACAAAUGUUUCUGUUUUGACACUUCACAGAACUGUCACUAACGUUGGCCCUGCGGUUUCGAAUUACCACGCCAUUGUUUCACCGUUCAAAGGUGCUUAUGUGAAAGUCGAGCCUCGGACGCUGAAAUUCACCAAAGCCAAUCAGAAGCUGUCAUACAAAAUCAUCUUCACUACGAAAUCCCGGCAGGCAGUCCCGGAGUUCGGAGGGUUGGUGUGGAAGGAUGGAGUGCAUAGGGUGAGAAGCCCCAUUGUUGUAGUGUGGCUGCCACCACUAUAAAUCCUGCACCGGAUUAAUUUCAAUGUGUGUUUUUAUUAAUGCUUUUUUGAAUAAACAAAUUUUCUGUAAUAGUUAGUAUCCUUCCUCUGCUUCUUGCUGUGAUCUUCUAGCUACUGUCAACCUUAGAACACGGGCGAAACAACGAUGUGCAGUGAAAACGUAGAUUAAGCAAGUUCAAAUCACAUUGAUGUUGUUAAUUAGAAGAUUGAGAACUAGAUCAGAAUAAUUUCUUAAUUUGCUCAAUUUCCAUAUUGAUUCACAUGUUUCUGCACUAUUUUUAUAAGCCACGACUCAUAAGCACUUAGUAGGAGUUCUGGUAGUUUUUGCAGGAUGAUAAUUUCAGACAUGCACGAAACAAAUCAAAUUUAAACACGACAUGUUGUAGGAAUCGAGAUCCACGAUAUUUGUAACCGCAUAAAUAUGAAGAUUUUAUGGUAGGUUAUCCCUUACCGAAAUUUCAACUUGUCCAACGGAUCAAGUGCAUUUGAUAUUCGAGAUGUCUCACUAAUUGUGUGAAUAUUUCAAUUUGGAUAUGUCUCCAGUUAUACACAAGUUUUUCUCCGAACUGUUUGAGUACAAUUUGGAUCAAUACCGUCAUGAACAGCUUAUGCUACUGAAUUCUAAUCACGAUGGCUUCACCCUUACAAACUAAACUCAUAAAAUGGGAUUUUCUUUUGAUGAUAAAAAAAAAAACACAUUAAUGCUGGCGGGCCGUGGGCCUAUUUGGACUCAUUAUGAUGGGCCUUUUAAAAAUUUAAAACCAGGCUAGUCCAAUUCGUAUUUGAAUUUCCCAAUAUGUUGAAGAAUUAUUUUAAAAUGAUGUUAUUUAGACACUCAUUUUUUCUUUUCACACAUUUCUCUCGAUUUUCGGCAGUCUAAUCAAAUAAGUUGAAGAAGAUCAAAUGAAAAAAUUAAUAAGAAUAUGUGAGAGGUAAAAAAUAUGUGUGAAUAGCACUACCCUUAUUUUAUUACUAGCCUCUUUCUUUUGCAUUUGAUUUUUUUUUUGGAUACUUUAUUCUUUUUUUUUUAAAUUGGCUUAAUUUUAUAUUUAGAAUAAAUUCAACAAAAAAAGCCAUUAACUUCUCAGUAAGAAGCGGUUAUUUCUUUUCAAUUUUUAAUUACUAAACUGUUAUUUAAAAUUUACUAGAAUAUGCUACGCACAAACCAUGUGUGAAUUUUUUGUUUUUGUUUUAAAAUUAAAGAAGAGCAGCAAGAGAGUGAGAGAGAACGUGAGAGUGAGGAGAGAAAGGAUUAUAAUUUUGUUUGUAAUAUUACGUUAUUGCCUUUAACUUUUUUAUUGUAAUAAUAAUCUUUUCAUCAUCUUUUAAUAGACAAAGAAAUUUUUAUUAAUAUGUAGUUUAGUUAUAAUAAAAAUAAAAAUAAUGCCUUUUUAGCAUUAGUAAUGUUCCAACAAAGUUUAUUAUUAUUUUUCAUAUUCCGCCCCCCCCUUUUUUCUUCUUAUUUUUUUGGUAAUUUUUCUGGUUUGUUUUAAUGUUUUUUUUACAAAAAUACCCUUGGAGAUGAGAAAUCAAAUUUUCACGUUAGUUUUGGAUUUUUUUUAAUUCAGGGUUUUUUUUAGUCCAAUUGUUUCUUGUGAAACCUUGUGACUUUAAAGAAAAGUUUUGGCUUCCCAACAAUAAUUUUUUUUUUUAACAAGUGAUAUUAUCUGUACUAAGAGGAAUGGUGAAGUUAGCAUCACAAUGAGCUAGCAAUAACAUAAUUCAAAUUCAUCUUUAACGAGGAAUUAGAAGUAAAAAGUAAUACUACUAGACCGUAAUAUUAAGUUGCAAUAGUGAAGAUAAAUUAUUAUUAUUUUUAUGUCUAAACUUAGUAGAAAGAAACUCAUUGUGGUUGACUCAUUGACUUUCCGACCAUUUUACAUAGAUUUCUCUCUUUCAAAUUUUAUGGAAUUACAUUUUUUUGGGAUAGUGCUAGGAAACCACCUAGUAAAAAGAAACUCAUUUUCGUUGACUCAUUUGACUUCCCGACCAUUUUAUAGAGUUUUUACUUUCAAAUUUUAUAAAAUUAUAUAUAUUUUUUAUAAUAAUUUUUUUUUUUGUUGAAUUUUUUUAUAAUAAUGUUAAGGAAAUCAAAAUUUUAAACUAAAUUUGCAAGUUAAAUGAUAUGUUAUUAAUUAAAAACAUCACAUUAAUCGACAUUUAAUGAAUAAUCUAAUCAUCUACAACUAUAACAUAAUUUAUAAAUUUAACUUAAAAAAUUUAAUUUUCUUAACAUUACUUUUUUUUUCUUCUUCUUGGUUUUGGUCAAGUGAACAUUCCAUUAAUAUUUCUUUAAAACAAACAAACAAAAAAACACAAGGGAGCAAAACAAGGCCCUAAAAACAGAGACUAGGCCCAAACAGAAACAAAGCUCAAAGAACAACAAAACCCCAGCAGCAGAGAAGCUGUUGGAGUCGUCGUCCCCAUCGCCGCACUGGUAGCUGACCAUCUGCUGUGGAUACUGUCCCUGUCAGAUGUCAAUGGCUGCUUCUUCCUCUUCCUCAUGGAAAUACGACGUAUUCCUGAAUUUCAGAGGCGAAGACACUCGCAAGAUCUUCGCCGGCCAUCUCUACAGAGCUCUGAAUCAGAAAGCAAUCAACACCUUCAUCGACGCGGAAAAGCUCAGAAAAGGCAACGACCUUUCGGAACUCCUUUCAGCCAUCGAAGAGUCAAGGCUUUCGAUCGUGGUUUUCUCCCAGAACUACGCUUCUUCGACGUGGUGCUUGAAAGAACUGGUCAAAAUCCUGGCGUGCAUGGAUACAAAGAAUCAGAUAGUGGUGCCGAUCUUCUACCAAGUCGAUCCAUCUGAAGUACGCAAGCUCAAGAGAAGUUUUGCAGAAGCUUUUGCUCAACACGAACGCGAAUCGAACGCCGAAAUGGAAGAGGUGAAGAGCUGGAGGUCCGCACUAACCAGAGCCACCAAUUUAUCCGGAUGGGAUUCGCGAAAAUACGAGUAAUUACUGUUCAAUUAUAUUCUUAAUUACUAUUGAAUUGGGAUUGUUAAAGCAUCUAGUUUAAUUCGGUGCUGUUUUUCAAAUUACACAGGGAUGAUGCCAAGCUUAUUGAGGAAAUUGUGGAUGACAUAUUUAAGAGAUUGAACCAAGUCUCGUCAAGCAAAGAUAAUGGCUUGGUUGGAAUGGAUUACCACAUGGAUGAAGUGAAUUCACUAUUACGUCCUGAGGUGAAUGAUGUUUUCACUGUUGGAAUAUGGGGUAUGGGAGGUAUAGGCAAAACCACCAUCGCUCACGCUGUUUAUGAUGAAAUCGCUUGUCAAUUUGAAGCUUGCUGCUUUCUCGAAAAUGUCAAGGAAGGCUUCUCGAAAAAUGGUGCAGUACAUAUGCAGGAAGUGCUUCUUUCUAGAAUCUUGAAGGAAAAGGUGCAGAGUUUAGGCACGUUGGAUCAAGGUUCCAGAGUGAUAAUGGAAAGGCUACAAAGGAAAAAGGUUUUCAUUGUUCUUGAUGACGUUGAUGAAUUAUCCCAAAUCGAAGGCUUACUUGGAAAGCAGCAUUCAUUUGGCAGUGGAAGUCGGGUCAUUAUAACAACUAGAGAUAGGCAAUUACUAAGUGGAGCUGUUGCGGUUUAUAAGCCCAAGAACUUAAGUGAGCCAGAAGCUCUUCAACUCUUCAAGCGGUAUGCCUUCAGAACAAACCAGCCCACCAAAGUUUAUGAUCAGCUCUCAAGGCAUGUCGUACAAUACGCUCAACAUCUGCCUUUAGCACUCAAAGUCUUGGGAGCUUUUCUUCAUAACAAAACUGUACGCGAGUGGGAAGAUGUGUUAGAAAAAAUAAGGAAGAUCCCGCAAAGGGGAAUUCAUGAUGUGCUUAAAACAAGCUUCAAUGGACUAGAUGAUUCAGAGAAGGACAUCUUUCUAGAUAUUGCAUGUUUCUUCAAAGGAAUGGAUAUAGACACAGCAAAAAAAAGUCUGGACAGUUGUGGCUUCUAUCCUCAUACUGGAAUAAGAGUUCUAAUUGAUCGAGCUCUAAUAUCUGUCUCAAUGUGGGGGACACUGGAGAUGCAUGAUUUACUAGAGGAAAUGGGUCGGGAAAUCGUUCGCCAAGAAUGUAUCAAAGAGCCUGGGAGAAGAAGUAGGUUGUGGAGUUAUGAAGAUGUUCGUCAUGUGCUGACUCAAAAUACAGUGAGAUCUUUUUCAUAUGCAAUGUUUCGUAGAAAGCUUCAGCUUUUGACCGAAAUCUAUUUUAUAGCAAACAUGCAUUGUUUAUAAUAUUCAAUAAGGUUCUUGGUGUUUUCCUUCACUUAGAUUUACAUUGUUGGUUUAUCCAGGCUACAGAAGCAGUUGAAGGCAUAAUCCUGGAUUCAGCAAUCUUUAAAGAGGGAUGCUCAAAUGCUGAAGCUUUUGUUAGUAUGACAAAACUAAGACUGCUCAUGAUCCGUGAUUGCUUCAUAGAACACUGGAUUGCGGACUUAAAGUUCCAAUCUUCUCAGCUGAGGUGUCUCGUCUGGCGUGGUUGCCCCCUCAAGUCUUGGCCAUCCAACUUCCAGUUCAAGAAUCUUGUAAACCUUGACAUGAUGAAUAGUUGCAUCGAACAACUUUGGAAAGGAGCUGAGGUAUGAUUUUUCAUUUACGUAAAUAUAUUUAUUUUCAAUGUUUAGGUUCUGAGAUGUGUUGUGCAUGUUUUCUUGGACUUUUUAACAGCCUCUGGAAAAGUUGAAAUUCAUCAAUUUAAGUUAUUGUGAAUACCUUAAGAAAACCCCCGACUUCACAAAGGCUACAAGUCUUGAGGAACUAAAUUUUGAAGGUUGUACAGGGUUAUAUGAGGUUGACCCAUCUAUUUCAGCUCUGAAAAGCCUUGCUGUAUUGAAUCUACGAGAUUGUCGAGAACUCAAGAGCCUGCCGAGCAGCAUUCAUAUGGGAUCUCUUCAAACCUUUAUUCUUUCGGGUUGCUCAAACCUUGAGAAGUUUCCAGAUAUUUCAGAUGUUAUGGAGAGUCUGUCAGAGCUUCAUUUAGAUGAGACUGCAAUUAAAGAACUGCCUUUGUCAAUUAAUAAACUCACGGGCCUUACUGUUUUGGACCUAUGUGGGUGUCAAGAACUCAAAAGCCUGCCGAGCAGCAUUCAUAUGGGAUCUCUUCAAACCCUUAAUCUAAGAGGCUGUCGAGAACUCAAGAGCCUGCCGAGCAGCAUUCAUAUGGGAUCUCUUCAAACCCUUAAUCUUUCUGGUUGCUCAAACCUUGAGAUGUUUCCAGAGAUUUCAGAAGUUAUGGAGAAGCUGUCAAAGCUUCAUUUAGAUGGGACUGCAAUUAAAGAAUUGUCUUCGUCAAUUAAUAAACUCACGGGCCUUACAAUUUUGGACCUAAGAGGCUGUCGAGAACUCAAGAGCCUGCCAAGCAGCAUUCAUAUGGGAUCUCUUCAAACCCUUAAUCUUUCUGGUUGCGCAAACCUUGAUGUGUUUCCAGAUAUUUCAGAAGUUAUGGAGAAGCUGUCAAAGCUUCAUUUAGAUGGGACUGCAAUUAAAGAACUGUCUUCGUCUAUUAAUAAACUCACGGGCCUUACAAUUUUGGACCUAAGAGGCUGUCGAGAACUCAAGAGCUUGCCGAGCAGCAUUCACAUGGGAUCUCUUCAAACCCUUAAUCUUUCUGGUUGCUUAAACCUUGAGAUGUUUCCAGAGAUUUCAGAAGUUAUGGAGAAGCUGUCAAAGCUUCAUUUAGAUGGGACCGCAAUUAAAGAACUGUCUUCGUCAAUUAAUAAACUCACGGGCCUUACAAUUUUGGACCUAAGAGGCUGUCGAGUACUCAAGAGCCUGCCGAGCAGCAUUCAUAUGGGAUCUCUUCAAACCCUUAAUCUUUCUGGUUGCUCAGACCUUGAGAAGUUUCCAGAUAUUUCAGAUGUUAUGGAGAAGCUAUCAAAGCUUUAUUUAGAUGGGACUGCAAUUAAAGAAUUGCCUUCGUCAAUUAAUAAACUCACGGGCCUUACUGUUUUGGACCUAUUUGGGUGUCAAGAACUCAAGAGCCUGCCGAGCAACAUUCAUAUGAGAUUUCUUCAAACCCUUAAUCUGUCUGGUUGCUCAAACCUUGAGAAGUUUCCAGAGAUUUCAGAUGUUAUGGAGAAGAUAUCAGAGCUUGAUUUAGAUGGGACUGCAAUUAAAGAACUGCCUUCAUCAAUUAGAAACAUUCCAAGGCUUUUAUCAUUGAAACUAAGAGAUUGCAAAAAACUUAAGAGUCUUCCAAGCAGCAUUUGUGAUCUCAAGUCCCUUCAGUAUGUUGGUCUUUCUGGUUGUGCAAAGUUUGAGGUGUUUCCAAAUAUUGUAGAAAAGAUGCGACUAAGAGAACUUCACUUGCACGGAACAUCUAUCAAAAGAAUUCCACCGUCAAUUGAAUGUCUUCAUGGGCUUGUGUUACUGAAUCUGAGAAACUGCAAAAGCCUUGGCAGUCUUCCAGAGGAUCUCUGUAAUUUGGUUUCCCUUACUGUUCUCACUCUCUCUGGAUGCUCAAAGCUUCAAAACUUGCCGGAGAAGUUGGGAAAGUUAGAGUCCUUGUGGAACCUUGAAGUAGAGGGAAGUGGUAUAAAACAACUCCCACUUUCUUUAUUACGUUUGAACAAGCUUACAAAGUUAUCAUGUCAUGGAUGUAAAGAAAUGACGGCACCCUUUUCAUCAUGGUCAACAUCAAUGGAAGAUUGUAGUCACCGUGGUCUGGUAUAUCUUGAUUUAAGUGACUGCAAUCUGUUGCAAUUAUCUGGUAUUGCUCAUUUGUCAUCAUUGAAAACAUUAGACCUGUGCAGAAACAAUUUUGAGAGUUUGCCUGCAGAAAUGAAUCGACUUCAUCGUUUAACAGAUCUCAAAUUGGAAGGUUGCAAGAGACUGAAAUCAAUACCAGAGCUUUCAUCAAGUAUAAGUUUCAUAGAUGCCCAUGAUUGCACAGCUUUGGAAUCUGUUUCAAGACCAAAGCUUCCUUACAUGAAUCUUUACUUCACAUUUUCAAACUGCUUCCAGCUGGUGCAAAAUCAAUUUGAAUAUAUUGUGGAAGCUCAUCAGGUCUCUCUCUCUCUCUCUCUUUCUGUCUCUCCCUCACCCCUCCCCCCCCCCCCCCCCCCCGGGGUGUGAAAAGACAAAACAUAUCUAAUGCAAGUUCAGUUUACCUUUGUUUUCGUUCUGUAGGGUAAUCUGCAACCGCUUUCCUUGUUUAUGUGUCUUCCUGGAAGUAAACUUUCAGAUUGGUUCAGCCAUCAGUGUGUUGGAUCUUCAGUAACUGUCCAUCUACCACCAGUGUCGGAUCAUAAGAUUUUGGGAUUCGCUGUGUGCGCUGUUACCAAGUUCAAGUAUACACAUUAUACAUCUGAUCUAUCUGCUCCGUGUUUUUGUACCUUCAAAGGAGAGCAUGGCGAGUGCAGUUUCAGAUUUGAUUUGAUUGAUUGGAGCUUCGCAUGUGGCAGGUUACUUGAGUCAGAUCACAUGUUCAUGGUAUAUAUUCCAUGGGAAAAUGGAGUGCAGCUAAGUGAGCGCUAUCCCACUGAGGCCACAUUUAGAGUUGAACUAAAAGAUGGAGUCCAAACACGUGAUUUUGUGGCACCAGUUCAGCAGCAUCACAUCAGAAGGUGUGGAGUUCGUCUCUUUUAUGCCAAUCGUGAAGAGUUGCAUAAUUGAAGCAUGACACAGCCCGACUAUCUAUCAUGAAAAUUCUGAAGCGGAACUUCAUGCUUUUGACAAAUCACUGGCAAGAGUUGCUCAUUCUAAGAUGAACCCUGAGGGGUGUUGCUAUAACGGGGCUGAACAAAGUGGAAGUGAUACCCCUGACGCGGAGGAUUUAGGUCUAAAAGAUUGGUACUUCCUGAUGGGGGGAAAGGAAAACUGAAGAGAAAUAAUUGGGAGCUGCUGCAUUUAAGGUUCUGUAAGAGUGAAACCAAUUAGAGAUUGUUUUAGUUGCAGAGAGACAAUUUUGUUUGUAAUUCGUUCUUUCCCUCUUCUAUUUGUAAGUGUAUUUGGGUGUUUUGGGUUUGAGUUUGAGAGCACUCUUUGUAAUCUCCCUUUGUUUAUUAGUGGAACUUCCUCGCUGUCCCCGAACUGGAUGUAGGCUUACGCCAAACCAGUAUAAAUCUUUGUGUCAUUUUGAAUUUGUUUGUUUUGUCAUAUUUUUCCGUAUUAGUUUAUUGGGUUCAAAUUAGCGCUUCCGCACAACACUUUGAACCCAGUGAAGGUGGAGAAGAGCUUCUUGUAUUUGGAAGUCCCAAUUCAGAUCAUUUGAGUCAUCUAAUCUGACAUUGACAGAGGUGGAGAGGAGCUUGUUGUAAUGUUAAUUCAGCAUUCAGAGGUGGAGAGGAGCUUGUUGUAAUGUUAAUUCAACAUUAGAACAAGAGAAAUAGCUCCAAGUGCUGAAAUUGAAGAAUUCAGUUGCGAACACAUUUAUGUUUCUCAUCAGAACAAGAUUAAUUAGAAUAAUUAAGUUUUUAAUCGCCCAGUUCCGUCCCGUAUGAAUUUUGAAUAUGGAGGACGUGUUUCUGCAUUGUUUUCAAUUGUCCCAAGCACUUUGUAGAGCUGUAGUAACUUUGCAGUCACAAGACAUAAAUACCAAAGUACCCUUAAUUACUCUUCCAAAUGUCUCAGGUUUGUGUUGACAUGAACAUGAGAUUUUUCAAUAUGAUGGGCACUUAGUUCAGUAGACCAAAUUUAAUAAUAUAAUUUGUUGAAAACUUGCAAAAAAAAAAAUUCUAACGAAUUGUAUUAUCAUGCUUGUGUACCAAGUAGUGUGUCAUUCACACGAAAAAACUUCUCGACAUGAGCACAACCCAAAGGCAUCACUAUUAGUUACUCAUAAGAAUACAAAGUUUACAUUAAAGGACAAGAUUAAACUUAUCAUUUUCAACUUAAAUGACUUGCACACAAAUUAUCUAGUUACGCGAUUGUGUAAGCGUGCUAAAGUGUAAUUCACUUUCGGAUUAGGUGGGUUGGAUGGAAACACAAACUCUUAUUAACCAUGUUAAAUGGAUCAACGCGAUUAUGCCCAACUCAAACAAAUUUAUUUUUUGUCCUUUUCAAGUCGGAUUGUCGAAUCUAUCAAAAAUGGUUACCUCUACUCUUUCUUGGCAUUUUCUACCUAAAUUCGAACAAAAACAAUGAAAGGUACAUCCGAACAAAAAUACAAUAAAAGGUACUCAUCCAACAACUUUCAUAUUUUUAAUAGAAAAACGCGCAUUAUUCUUGUCAUCGACUUUCUUAGGCUACAUUUUUCUCCUGCAAUGGGUUUUUAUUUCGGAGGGUUGGUGUGGAAGGAUAGGAGUGCACAGGGUGAGAAGCCCUAUUGUUGUAGUGUCGCUGCCACCACUAUAAAUCCUGCACUGGAUUUUUGUUUCUUUUUUUUUCGUGAAUUAAUUGCAAUGUGUGUUUUUAUUGAGUAAACAAGUUUUGUAGCUAACAGCAUAUAUACCAAAGAUUUCAGAGUAGAAUUGUUAUUACCCUCAUUAGAUUAAAAGUCAAAGAACCAUUAAUCGUCCGUUUUAUGAUUACUAUGCGGUUGGAUAUGACACGUAUAUGAGAUGCUUACACUUAACCGGAGAUAUUCUGGUCACCUUAACUCACUUUUCAUGUGAUUGGGGAGAUUGAGAUCAUUUUCGUUUCAUAAAGAGGGUGUUAGGUAUGCAAGUGCAGAUUCAACAUAAUUGAACAAAUAUUGGUUAGUGUAGAUUCGUAUACACUUAUAUAUAUAUAUAUAUAUAUAUAUAUAUAUAUAUAUUUUUACAUUUUUGUUUGGUUACACUAGAGUUGUAUUUACCUUUUUGUUUCAAUAAAAUUUCACCUCGCACAGUCGAGGUUUCUUUAACAAAAAAAGAAGUGUAGAUUAAUAUAGAAUAUUAUUCACUAAAAAUACAGUCAUACAAAUUAAACUUAUAGAGAUUUGCAGAUGACACUUUACCACAACAACAAAAAAUAGUAAUGCUUAUACACCUUGAUGUGUCGAUCUUUACGAAUUUUCUUCUUCUUUAAUAUCUAAUUACCUAAACCGCCAAUACGGCUCUACUCUAAAAUUUAAUAAUAAAUAAAAAGAAGGGGCAGUAAGAUCGCUGAAUUUCAAAACCAGUUUAGCGUACUUUGGCCUGGUCCCUUCGUGCAAAGCUGCUAAACCACCCUUCCUUCGCAUUUCUACGGCCGAAGUAUGCAGCUUCGUUUCACACUGAAAUUUUUUAUAUCCAUUCCUGGAAGAACGUUAUUGUUUUUUAUUUUUAGAAGUCAACUAAAAUUUAUGCCUGUGCAUUGCUGCGGGGUUGAAAAUUAUAUGAAAGAUUAUGCAACUGCAAUUUUUAUAAACAAUGUUCGAGUCAAAAAUUGAAUUACGAACGCCAAUGCAACCAAUGCAAUUUACACACAACCUCAUCAUGAAUGAAACUAAUUAACAAUCUACUGCUGCAAUCGAGAUAACAACCACUUUGCAGAUUUUUGUGGAACCACUUUGCAGGUUUUGUGGAACCACUUUGCAGAUUUUGUGGAACUACUUUAGUGGAACCACUUUACAGGUUUUGUGGAACCACUUUAUUCUAAACAUAAAUCUUAACAUAACUCAGUAAGGUGUAAAAAAAUUAUUAGAGAGAUUGACAAAGCACAAAAAAAUAGAUAUUUGUAAUGAAUUUCAAAUCAAACCAGAGAUUAUAUCAACUGAGUUUGAUACAUAUGUACCUGUUGUGUUUGAUACAUGUUUUAUACGCUUUUCUGCUGAGUUUGAUACAUAUAUACAACCAUAUUAGGUGUUCAACGAUGGGGCUUACAUUCCUAUUUACAAUUGGAUAAAUUUAUACUUCUAUAUUGAUGCAAGUUAUGAUUUUAAUUUGAAUGCCUUCUUCUUCGUUCUGACAAUCAAAAAAAUAAAAAAUGUAUAUAUUUUAAGAUUAGAUAUUACAAACUGAUGUACACAUAAUAAUAGAAUCAGUGUCAAUUUCUCCAUGUUAUAGCAAUACCUCAUAACAAAUCGCGGGCAAACAAAAUCAGUUUUAAGUUUUUUGAAUUUAAAAAAAAGCCAAAACAAAUCGUAAUAGCAGACAAAUCCAGAAAAAGAUAGAAACAAAUAGAAUCAUUUAAAUUUUGUAUGCUGUUAGUUUCUCAAGUAACCCUUACAUAUUCGUUCAAAUUAUGCAUGUAUUGGGGUGCUUUAAGCAGAAUGGUAGUGUAGUAUUCAGAAUUUAUUUUCAAAUGAUCACAAAUGAAUCUCCCACUGUUCUACUUAAAACACCAUUAUUCUACACAAAACUAAGUGAAAAUUGCAUUGUUUUUAUAAAAACAUUGAAAAACAUAUGAACUCAUGCCCAACUUUGAUUAAUCCAUCAUUAAUAGCUGACUAUUUCAACACUAAGAGUUGAUAAGAGAACAUUGGAAAACAUAUGAACAUGCCCACCUAUUAUCAUAUCUGACAUUGCAGUUGAUUAAUCUCACAUAAAUCCACAUCAAAAGAACCCAGAAAUUUAAUGAAGAAUUUUUCAAAACCCACAAAUUUAAACGAAAAACUCUAUAAAAUCAUGAAAAAUUUAAUAAAAUCCAAGUAUAUUAAUCACAAAUUCGAUCAUACAAAUCUUCACGUCCAAUAAGUCUAGAAGGUACCUAGCUUCCUUGCAAAAUCGUAUCUCUACAGGCUAAGGCUCAAAUUUCCUUACAGCAGCCUUGAUUCCCAAUUCAAGCAGUCACAUAUAUAUAUUUAAGUUGAUGCGUUCAAUGGGCAUAUGCACUUAUCAAAAAUUAUGAUACCGAUUGAACACGUUAGAGUAAUGUCCGUGAUUAAAUAAUAAGCAUGAAAAUGACUAACCUGGUAACACAAACUGCUCAAAUUUGGUGGUUAAUACUUAAUACUGCCUUCUACUAUUGUACAUAACAGCAUAAUCGAAACAAUAAGCUAAUUUAACGUGUUGAUACUUGAUAGCUAUUUAGACUUGAAAAUUGAAAACAAAACUAAGGAAAUUGAAAACAAAACUAAGGACAUUAAAGGAAAUACAAAAAUGUUCUAAGAUUGAAGGUGAAAGUAUAAGCUAAUAGCACAGCAAAUAAGCAAGAAAAGUUGGCAAGAUUUUAAAGGGACCAAUAUUAUUUUAGGAAAACUAAUAAAAAAUGUUUGAAAACUUUGAGAUUUAACGAAAAAAUAAAAGAUAAAAUAAAUAGUACCAGAAUUGAUUUUUUAAUAUAAAAAUAUAAUUUUUUAUUAAAAUAAACAGUAACAUAAUUUUUUCGGUAUAAUUCUUUAUUAUUUUCCCAUCAAACAGGAGAACAAAAGAGUCUUCCCAACUACAGUGAUUUGACAAUUUUCAAAAAGUUUGGAAAUACAAAUAAUGGCCCACAGAUCAAAUUAUAUACUAACAAUUCCAGAAGACAUUCAGCAUGUGACCGCUUAAACUUUGAAUGGAUGCGAGAAAUGCAGGAUUGAAGCCAGAAUUGAACCUUAUAUUACCUGUUUCAAUGUUUGGUUACGCUCAUCAUUGAAACUUCUGCCACGCUUCGUUCCAACCGCAUCAAGCUCAUCAAUGAAUAUAAUUGACGGUGAUGUUUCCUUGCCAAAUUGAAAAGGUCUCUAAUGCGAGCUGCUCCUCUUCCAACAAACAUCUGCACAAAUUCCCUGGGCUAGGAAAAACUAAAAUAAAAGAAGAUACUCAAGAACAUAUAACCAUUAACCCACUCCUCCACCGCCUUGACCUCUUUGAUCUGCAAAACCAAAUAACAUUUUUCAACAAAAAAGAACUAAUUUAACAAAGCAAAUACAGCAUACAAAAACAGAUAUUCAAUUUAGCUUCAUUUAGAUUACAGGAAGUCUAUUCAAACAACCAAAAGGAUAUAAAUAAAAAUAUUCAAGAAUCAACCUUUUUCAAAGAUCGCUUGGUCCAGCGUUCAAACCAAAAAACUGAAGACGGUUACCUGAAAUAAAUGAAAAUUAAAAAGUAAUUAAUUUACUCUUAACCAUGGUUUUUUUUCAAGAAUCAGAAAAACCUAAAAAUAUUCCAAACAAUCCCAAAUUUUGGAACUGUUUUAAGCCAACUUACCAUGAAAUUACAGUCGCUUGAGAAAUUUUCUUUAAAUCAGGAAGGAACAGGCAUUCCUGUAUAAGUAAUUCAUUUAAAGGGUGUUUUAGCAACCAUUGUUAGUGAUCAAUGCGAAGGAGGAUACGAGGGAUAAGAGAUAAGAGGGAGGGGGGACAGAUGGGAGAGGCAGAGAACAGUGAGGGAUGAGAGAGAGUGACAGUGUUGGGAGAUGGGGGAGUGGGGGUACAGAAAAUAUUAGAAAACAAAAAUCAAACACACCAAACCAGCUUUUCACAUUUUAUAAUAAUUUUUUUUCUUUUUAACCAAUUAUUUUUUCGAAGUUUUAACGAAAAGCUCUCGGUACUGUUUAUUUUAACGAAAAAUCACAUUUUUACACUAAAAAGUCAAAACGGAUACUAUUCACUUUACCCUUUAUUUUGUUUAAAAAUUUUCAAACCAUUUUCAUUAGUUUUCCUUUAUUUUUUAUCAUUUUCGUGCCAGAAAUUAUGUGCUACAUUUUUUUUAAUCUUAUUUUUUUAUCCAACAACCCAUUACUUUACCCUUUCACUGUACAAAGCAGGCAAUACAAACCGAAUCCAAAGCUGACGACAGACGCAAGGCCGGGAAGGACUAAACAGACUUUUUACUUUAUAAAAUUGUAAACAGUACGGAGACCAAAGCAGAAACCAAGGGUAUUUUUUACCUUUCACUGUUAAUGAACAGUACGCUCUCUAGCAUGAUGAACAGUAUUUUUUGCUGUUGGUAGAUAUAAAUUUUGCCUGCAAGAAGAUUAUUUUCCUUAAAUUUCCUCGAAGAUGUGAACACAAAAAGCAUAAUCUUGUGCCUUUUUACGUAAUGACCUAAUUUGCAUUGACUCAGUGACUUCGUAUCGAUCAGAUUAUUUUCCGGUGAUCCAAUUUGUAGAUCAGUUGAGUUAGUAUUUCUGUUUCGUACAUUACUUUUAGUCUUAGCUGCUCGAUCAUCACUGACCAGGUGGUGUUUUCAAAAGUCAUAAGCACUCUGUAGAGUUGUAGUGCCAUUGCAGCAACAAGAUAUUAUCAAGUACCCUUAGGCCUCGUUUGGCAGCUCAGACUGUACUGACUAUUUCAGUAUAAAUAGUCGUCGGAUAUGACUGACUAAAUUAAUCGAGCAUUUGAUGUUGCAUCUGAUUAAUUUAUACAUCGGAUAAUAGGUCGGACUAUAAUAAUUUUUUUAAAUAAUUUCACAGGAUAAGUGUUGUUAAAAUGAAAAAAAAAGGAAGAAAAACAAGUGAGAAAAAAAAAAUUAAACAUCUUUACACAGACAAAAAUUAACAAAUAAAAAUAAAAAAGGAAGAGAAAAAAACCCAGAUCUCUUCCCAGUUCCCAGUUGUGUCUUCCUAUCUACACCAUCUUCCCCACGGAUCAAUUCCCACCCUCCCAUACGAACCCACUUCUUCAUUUCUUCAAAUCUCCCAAAACCCACAUCGAUUCACCAACCAAAAAAAAAAUAUUCCCAGAAAUUAAAUAUUUUCAAUGCUAAUAAACCAAAUUUUAUCAUCGGAGCCUAGCUCCCUUCCUUGUCGGAGCCCAGCUCCCUUCCUCCUCCUCGUCCUUCUCGUUGGAGCCUAGAUCGGAAAAUUUGAAUCAUCAUCUUCCUCCUUCAACCCACGGAAGUAUUGUUGUUCUGUUAGAGAUCGAAGGCGAACGGAGGAGGUGGGAGGUGUGUGUGUGUGAAGGAGGAGGGAGGAGGGAGAGGGAGGAGGGAGGAACAGAAAGAAAAAAAGAAGAUGACAAAGAUGAACUUGAGAUCCAGACGAGAGAGAGCAGGCGGGUGAGAUAGUUGAAGGAGAGUCAUGCGAGAGAGGAACAGAGUGAACAAGAGAAAUCUCACCUGACUAAAUAAUACAGAGGUUUUGGACGGGAUUCAUAAGCGGGUGGGAGGGGUAUAAAAUAAGUGGGGCCGGAUUAAAUAAUCUGGUGCUUAUUUUAUACGAAGCUCACCAAACAUCCGUUUCGUAUUAUUAAUACU
RNAcentral lists this long non-coding RNA (21320 nucleotides) under Malus domestica (apple). RNAcentral describes it as "long non-coding RNA (MDOM_LNC001165)". Lineage: Eukaryota; Viridiplantae; Streptophyta; Magnoliopsida; Rosales; Rosaceae. The record is from RNAcentral.